This 280-nucleotide ribosomal RNA is filed under the name uncultured archaeon. RNAcentral describes it as "partial 16S rRNA". It matches the Rfam family "Archaeal small subunit ribosomal RNA", at positions 347 to 631 of the family's 1478-position model. The record is from RNAcentral.
ACUUUGCNAUGCGGGAAACCGUGACAGGGGAACUCCGAGUGCCCGUNAAAUCGGGCUGUCCAUCAGUUUAAAUAACUGGUGAAGAAAGGGCCGGGCAAGACCGGUGCCAGCCGCCGCGGUAAUACCGGCGGCUCGAGUGGUGGCCACUAUUACUGGGCUUAAAGCGUUCGUANCUGGUUUGUUAAGUCUCUGGGGAAAUCUUCCGGCUUAACCGGAAGGCGUCUCAGGGAUACUGGCAGACUAGGGACCGNGAGAGGUGAGGGGUACUCCANGGGUAGGA